CUGCAGUAGAUGUGUGAGGCCUUUAAUGAAUAUCUUUCCUCUUUUUUUGCAUGACUUUCACGGUAAAAACUGGGGAAAUUCACAAAAACUUCAGUACCUGAGAUGGCUGACGGGGAUGCCUUGAGACACAGCAUGAUAACAGGCCCUUUCAGAAUUAAGGCUGCAAGUCAGAUGUGCCUGAACUUAAACCAGUCUAACAUGCACAGUAAAUUCCAACAAAGGUAGCCACUGGCAGCAGAUGUGUCCAUCUUUCAGGAUAUUUGUAUAUCUGCAAAUGUGAUGAUAUUGAGAACCAAACCCGUGAUCCUGGAAAUUCCACGUACUGAUUCAACAUCAGUAAGACGCAAGAGCUGAUUGCUGACUUCUGGAAGGAUUAUGUAUUGCAUUGAACUGCUGCUGCUAAGUUAACAAAUUUCACGUCACAUGCCGGUGAUAAUAAACCUGAUUCUGAUUCUGAGGAAGGAAGUAUAGAAGCCUGAAGCCACUCAGCAAUUCAAAAACAGCGUCUUCCCCUCUGCCAUAGGAUUCCUAAAUGGACAUCAAACCUAUAUAUGUUAUUUCUGUUUUUGCACUAUUUUAACCUAUUUAAUACACUUAUAUACACUUACUGUAAUUAUUUUCAUAUUUACAAUUAUUUUCUUUCUAUAUUAUGUAUUGCAUUGUACCUCUGCUGAGUUAACAAAUUUCACGACACACGCUGGUGUUAAUAGACCUGAUUCUGAUUUAUGCCAUAAUUGCAGAUAACGUAAGUUUAUGGGAAGAUUGGUAAUUUAUCUGUCUGACUUGUCAAAUUAAGAAAUAGUUGAGCUCACAUGCACAAAUGUCACAAGCGUCACAAAUUUUGUUUGAUCCAAGGUUUGUGACUCAAUCAAGUGGAAAUAACUUAUUCAGCUCUAUAAACAAGUAGAGCUUCUGCAAGUUAAUUUCGAGCAUUUUUUAAGACAGGAAAAUCUCUUCCCUUUCAAGCUCUUAUGUUUGCGUUCAGUGUGAUCUUUUCCACAAACUUCAUUAAUAUGGAGAUCAAACUCAAAUAAGAGCAAUAGUUCAGAGAGAGUAACAAUAUUUAAAAAGUGUCUAGAUCAGCACUUAAAUAAUAUCGACAUAGAAGGUAAGUACAGGAAGAUGUGAUUCAUGCAAGUUGAGUUACCAAUGGUCAGUGAGGGCUUGGUGGGCCAAAUAGCCUAUUUCUAUCCUGCAUUUGAACAGGAAGUUGAAAAAUGUCAUAGGAGGGAAAUGAGCUUUUGUCUGCAGGGAGGAUUUCAAUGAGAUUGGUAUGGGGGUGGGAGCAUUUGAGAGAGCAAGCACAGUGAGAAGACAUGGUUACAUGCAGCAACCAAAGUGCAGCAAUCAGGAUAGUCAUAUUUACAGUUAACAGUCAUAUAGGACCACUGAUAUAAAUUGCAUCUAUUUCAAUGCACAAAACAGACUAACUGAGGGCUUGAAUUUCCUGAAGAGACCGGAGUAUUGUGGCAUAAUGGAAAUGUGGCUACAAGAAGAGCAGGACUGGCUGUUCAAUGUUCUGGCGCGCCAAUGCUUUAGGCAAGAUAGAGGAACAGGUAAGAAUGGAGCAGAUGUUGUCUUUUUGAAAAGGGAGUACAUAACAGCAGUGCUUAGAGAGGAUAUUUUUGGGGGAUCACCUAACGAGGCCUUUGGGGAGGUCUCAGGAAUAAGGAGGGAAUGGUCACCUCGGUAGGGCUACAUUGUAAACCUCCUAACAGUCAGCAGAAUCCUGAGGAGCAGAUGUUGAGGAAUAGCACACACUCGUGGGAAUAGUAAGAUAGUGCUAGUGGGAGAUUUCGAUUUUCCUGGUCUUGACUGGGUAACAGAGAGUGCAAUGAGCCUGGAUAGGUUGAAUUUGUGGGGCGCAUCAGAAAGGGUUCCCUCAUGCUGUAUACAGAGGAAACCAUUCGGAGAGGAGCAACAUUUGGCCUCCUCUCAGGGAACGAGGCAGCCCAAGUGACUACAGUGACAGUUGGGAAACACUUUGGCUCCAGUGAUAUCAUUCUAAAUAGUUAUGGGAAAAGAUGGAACAGGUACAUGGCUUAAAGUCCUGAACUGGGGCAGGGCCAACUUUGAGUGCAUUAACCAGCUGGGUUCAAUUGGGUGACUCUUUUUCAAGGGAAAGGAAAGUUGGCAAGUGGAAGGCUUCGAAAACGAUCAUAUCAAGAGACCAGGUGCUGCAUGUGCUUGUUAGGGUGAAGGGUAGACAUACCAACUACAGGGAACCCUGAUCUAUGAGAUAGAUCAGGGUUCUGCAAAGGGAAAAAAAAAGAAAGGGUACAUCAUAUUUAGGUAGCUGGCUACAAAUGAAUCCCUCGAUGUAUAUUCAAAGUUUAAAAACAGUUUUAAGAGGGAAAUCAGGAGGGCAAAAGAAGUCUAUGAGACUUGGCAUAAUUUACUUAUUAUUAUUUAAUUAUUUAUGGUUUUAUAUUGCUAUAUUUCUACACUAUUCUUGGUUGGUGCGACUGUAAUGAAGCCCAAUUUCCCUCGGGAUCAAUAAAGUAUGUCUGUCUGCCUGGAUCUGGCCGGCAGGGUUAAAGAUAAUCCCAAGAGGUUCUUCAUUUAUAUUAACAGUAAAAGAGUGACUAUGGAGAGGCUUAAAGAUUAUCAGUUCCUUCUGUGUGUGCACCUGAUGAUCUUUAAGUCAUUUUAAAGAUCAGCAGGGAGCCUGUGUUUGGAGUUGCAGGAAAUAGCUCAGAUUUUUAGUGUCUAUUUUUCCUUGGUGUUUAUUGAUGAAAAUAUGUCAAAGAAAUGAGGACAACGAAUAGUGAAGUCUUUGAUCCUAUGCAUAUUAUGAAGAAGAAGGUACUUGCAGCCUUGAAGUGCAUUAAGGUAUGUACAUCAAUAGGGCCAGACCAAGUGCGCCCCCAGACCUUAAGGGAAGGCCAAGGAAGAAAUAGUGGUGGUCUUGUAGUUAAUUUAUUGUUAGCUGUUGGUGAAGUUUUAGGGGUCUGGCGAUAAGUUAAAGUUGUUGCAUUGUUCAAGAUGGUUAACAAGGAUAGGCCACUGAACUACAGGCUAGUGGAGUCUGACUUUACUUGUAGUGCAUGGGAAGUCAUGUCUGAUGAAUCUUUUGGAGUUCUUCAAAGAAGUAGCUAAGAGAAUAAGUGAAGUUAAGGCAUUGGAUUCUAGUAAGACCUUUGACAAGGUCCACAUUGCAGGUUGAUCUGGAAUAUUUGGUUGCAUGGGGAGCCAGUGAAGCAGAUUCAAAAUGAUGAUAGGAGAAGAGGGUGAUGGUUGAAGAGUUAAUCUCUGAAUGGAGGCCUGUAACUAGUGGCGUGUACCAGGGGAUCAGUGUUGGGACUUCUGUUAUUCAUUAUUUAUGUAAAUUAUUUGGAUUUGAAUGUACAUGGCAUGAUUAGUAAAUUAGGGGGUCUCAUUGAUAGGUUACAAAGAAUUGCAAGUUAAGGGGACGGCUGAGGAUGUCAACUUAGGUGGAGGUGAAUGAUGCAUCUUAGACCAUCAAACCAGGGUAGCACAUAACCAGUGAACACCAGGGCACUGACGAGUGUUGUGGAGGAGAGGAAGCUGAGAGUUUUUGAGCUCAGUUCACUAAUACAGCCAAGUAGAAGAAGGCACAAGCAUGCCGGCCUUCGUCGGUCAGGUGCAUCAAGUUUAGGAGGGAGGGAGGGCGUUAUGUUGCAGUUAUAUAAGGCUCUGGUGAGGCUGCACUUGGAGUACUGUGUACAGUUUUGGUCACCCUUUUAAAGCUGGAGAGAGUGCUGAAGAGGUUUAAGAGGACGGUGUUAGUUACAGGGAGAGUUUGGCUAUGCUGGAUCAUCUUUCCUGGAGCAGAGGAGCGUGACCUCAAAGAAGCUGAUAAAAUCAUGAGUGGUAUGGAUAAGGUGGACAGCUAUAGUCUUUUCCCCAGGGUUCAGGAGUCCAAAACUAGAGGACACUCAUACAAGGUAAGAGAGGAAAGAUUUAAAAGAGACCUGAGAGGUAAUUACUUCACACAGAAUGCAACAAUACCUGGAAUGAGGUGCCAGAGGGAGUGGUCAAGGCAGGUCUAGUUGCAACUUUUAAGGGGCUUUGGAUAGGUACGCACAGGGGAGAAGCAUGGAGGGUAAUGGGGCAAACACAGGCAACUCGAACUAGCAGGGAGAUUCUGGUGGUCAGCAUGGAUCAGUUGAGCCAAAGGCUUUGUUUUCGUGCUACGGUACUCUGCGACCUCUAUGACCUGUUAGAGUUUGCAGAAUUCUCUGUUUUAUCACAUACUUACAG
This is a long non-coding RNA of Hypanus sabinus (Atlantic stingray), 4224 nucleotides long. RefSeq lists it as uncharacterized. The record is from RefSeq and is a predicted model, not a curated record. Lineage: Eukaryota; Metazoa; Chordata; Chondrichthyes; Myliobatiformes; Dasyatidae. The transcript has 3 exons.